UUUGUUACCCUUUAUGUGACGGCCACACUGCUGUCACAUAUGUUACUAACCACGUGACGGUAAAGAGCCGUUCGGUAUAGCACUAUUUUAGAAAUUUAAAUUUAUUUCCAGUUAGAAAACUAUUCGCUGGAAUAGCCACCAUCGUAAACCUAACUGGUUGCCGGCGAACGGCGUAAAACACCGGGCAUCUUCUUCUUCAUCGUAUUCUCCCUUCAUCUUUUGAGGUAAGCUUGUGAUUAUGAGUUUCUUCUCUGACUUAGCUUGUAAUUAUAGAUUUUGAUUUUUUUUUUUAAAUUCGUAUUGUAGCCAUUAUUGUCAAUUUUUGUCCCGCCAGCAAUAUUUUUUUAUUCCUACAAGUUGAAGCCCCUGUGUUCUUGUUCCAUUGGUGAGUUUGCUCACUCAAAUUAAUUUUGUUCUGCGGAAUUUACAAAGUUCAAAUGGAUUCAUUUGAAUUACUAUUGAAUUUAGCUUUAAUUCCAACAUCCAUUCUAAUGUUUUGCUAUUAGAUUUAGUUUAAUUUUAUGUUUAAAGCAUCUACAAUGAAUAGCGGAGCUUGGGUUUUAGUUUCAUUUUCUGGAUAACUUGUUUUAGUUUAUCUUGUAUGCUCACCAAGUGCUUGUUAUAUUGUCUGAUAAGUUAUAUACAUUGCUGAUUCUAUAUUAAUAAUGUUACGUUCUAUUUUCAGAAAUUAUAAUACAAAAGUUUUUACAAUGGCGUGCAUCUACAAACUGAAUUGACUUGUAGAAUAAGAGCUUGCAGUAAAUGAAAGUUCAUAUUGUGUAAGAG
Molecule: long non-coding RNA, 786 nt
Filed under: Citrus maxima (pomelo)
Lineage: Eukaryota; Viridiplantae; Streptophyta; Magnoliopsida; Sapindales; Rutaceae
Description: long non-coding RNA (CMAX_LNC001322)
Source: RNAcentral